GUGGACGCCAGUCUGCAUGGAGCCGACCUUGAAAUACCACCCUUUAAUGUUUGAUGUUCUAACGUGGACCCGUGAUCCGGGUUGCGGACAGUGUCUGGUGGGUAGUUUGACUGGGGCGGUCUCCUCCUAAAGAGUAACGGAGGAGCACGAAGGUUGGCUAAUCCUGGUCGGACAUCAGGAGGUUAGUGCAAUGGCAUAAGCCAGCUUGACUGCGAGCGUGACGGCGCGAGCAGGUGCGAAAGCAGGUCAUAGUGAUCCGGUGGUUCUGAAUGGAAGGGCCAUCGCUCAACGGAUAAAAGGUACUCCGGGGAUAACAGGCUGAUACCGCCCAAGAGUUCAUAUCGACGGCGGUGUUUGGCACCUCGAUGUCGGCUCAUCACAUCCUGGGGCUGAAGUAGGUCCCAAGGGUAUGGCUGUUCGCCAUUUAAAGUGGUACGCGAGCUGGGUUUAGAACGUCGUGAGACAGUUCGGUCCCUAUCUGCCGUGGGCGCUGGAGAACUGAGGGGGGCUGCUCCUAGUACGAGAGGACCGGAG
RNAcentral lists this ribosomal RNA (534 nucleotides) under Salmonella enterica. RNAcentral describes it as "partial 23S ribosomal RNA". It matches the Rfam family "Bacterial large subunit ribosomal RNA", at positions 2164 to 2697 of the family's 2925-position model. Lineage: Bacteria; Pseudomonadati; Pseudomonadota; Gammaproteobacteria; Enterobacterales; Enterobacteriaceae. The record is from RNAcentral.